This 795-nucleotide ribosomal RNA is filed under the name Thelenota anax. Its description in RNAcentral is "partial large subunit ribosomal RNA". The stretch from base 1 to 699 matches the Rfam family "Bacterial large subunit ribosomal RNA", at positions 1817 to 2925 of the family's 2925-position model. Lineage: Eukaryota; Metazoa; Echinodermata; Holothuroidea; Aspidochirotida; Stichopodidae. The record is from RNAcentral.
AGCCCCCUGAUAUACAUAACAUAGGGGGUGUAGCCUGCCCAGUGGAAAACCAUUUCUAAACGGCCGCGGUAUCUUGACCGUGCAAAGGUAGCAUAAUCACUUGUCUCUUAAAUGGGGACCUGUAUGAACGGCUUCACAUUCUUAAACUGUCUCCCUUUCUCACCUCAUAAACUUCUAUACACGUGAAGAAGCGUGUAAAAUUUAGAAAGACGAGAAGACCCUGUCGAGCUUUAGUCAACCUCAAAACAACUUAAACUCUUUAAGAAAAGUAGAUUUUUAGAGCUAGACUUUGGUUGGGGCAACCAUGGAGAAAAACAAUCCUCCAGUUCACUAGGCAGAAACCUCUUCACCUAAAAAUUUUUUAGAACCAGUCAUUCUGGAAAACGGAAAAAGUUACCGCAGGGAUAACAGCGUUAUCUCCUCUAAGAGCUCAUAUUGACGAGGAGGUUUGCGACCUCGAUGUUGGAUUGGGGUAACCUAAGGGUGCAGCAGCUCUUAAGGGUCGGACUGUUCGUCCGUUAAUUCCCUACAUGAUCUGAGUUCAGACCGACGUGAGUCAGGUCAGCUUCUAUCUUCUUUGAACCCUCCCUAGUACGAAAGGACCGGGAGAGUACCUUAAAUGAUUUUCAUCAAAAGGUAAACAAUAACAACAAAAACCUUUCUUAUAAAAAACAAGCUUUAGCUAUUACGAUGAAGAAAUUCCCACCCUUAAGAUUCACACCUUAAAAGGAAAACCAAACUUUACACAAGGGGUCCCCCUUACAAAAAUUUUUAAAUCCCUAACAACUAAGAAAC